GAUGAACGCUGGCGGCGUGCCUAACACAUGCAAGUCGAGCGAACGGACGAGGAGUUUGCUUGUCUGGUGUUGGCGGCGGACGGGUGAGUAACACGUGGAUAACCUACCUAUAAGACUGGGAUACCUUCGGGAAACCGGAUCUAAUACCGGAUAAUAUUUUGAACCGCAUGGUUCAAAAGUGAAAGACGGUCUUGCUGUCACUUAUAGAUGGAUCCGCGCUGCAUUAGCUUGUUGGUAAGGUAACGGCUUACCAAGGCAACGAUGCAUAGCCGACCUCAGAGCGUGGUUCCACACCCUGGCUGUGAGACACGGCCCAGACUCCUACGCUGGGCCGCAGUAGGGACUCUUACGCGAUGGAGGAGAGCCGAACGGAGCAACGCCGCGUGAGUGCUGAAGGUCUUCGGAUCGUAAAGCUCUGUUAUUAUGGAAGAACAUAUGUGUAAGUAACUGUGCACAUCUUGACGGUACCUAAUCAGAAAGCCCCGGCUAACUACGUG
This 497-nucleotide ribosomal RNA is filed under the name uncultured bacterium. RNAcentral's name for it is "partial 16S ribosomal RNA". It matches the Rfam family "Bacterial small subunit ribosomal RNA", at positions 28 to 507 of the family's 1533-position model. The record is from RNAcentral.